This 484-nucleotide ribosomal RNA is filed under the name uncultured bacterium. Its description in RNAcentral is "partial 16S ribosomal RNA". It matches the Rfam family "Bacterial small subunit ribosomal RNA", at positions 30 to 507 of the family's 1533-position model. The record is from RNAcentral.
AUUGAACGCUGGCGGCAGGCCUAACACAUGCCAGUCGAGCGGAUGAAGGGAGCUUGCUCCUGGAUUCAGCGGCGGACGGGCGAGUAAUGCCUAGGAAUCUGCCUGGUAGUGGGGGAUAACGUCCGGAAACGGGCGCUAAUACCGCAUACGUCCUGAGGGAGAAAGUGGGGGAUCUUCGGACCUCACGCUAUCAGAUGAGCCUAGGUCGGAUUAGCUAGUUGGUGGGGUAAAGGCCUACCAAGGCGACGAUCCGUAACUGGUCUGAGAGGAUGAUCAGUCACACUGGAACUGAGGCACGGUCCAGACUCCUACGGGAGGCAGCAGUGGGGAAUAUUGGACAAUGGGCGAAAGCCUGAUCCAGCCAUGCCGCGUGUGUGAAGAAGGUCUUCGGAUUGUAAAGCACUUUAAGUUGGGAGGAAGGGCAGUAAGUUAAUACCUUGCUGUUUUGACGUUACCAACAGAAUAAGCACCGGCUAACUUCGUG